Molecule: long non-coding RNA, 301 nt
Organism: Panicum virgatum (switchgrass)
Lineage: Eukaryota; Viridiplantae; Streptophyta; Magnoliopsida; Poales; Poaceae
Exons: 4
Source: RefSeq, a predicted model, not a curated record
UAGAUAUUUUUGAUUGGCACUAUCUAUUGAAGUAUUUUAGGACUGCAAAAUUCCAGCAAAGAGCAUACAAAAUUAUGGGAUUCGAGCCCAACAAAGGACCAGACAUUUGUCAGGCUCUAAGCCUUAUGCUCAGCGCAGCUAUGAGAAGAGACCCAGAAAGUGGUGAUGAGCCCAAUGAUAUGGAACUUUGGUUUAUAACUCACACAAAGGAUGGGCACUGGAAAGACCAAGAAUCUAGGGAUGUCUACGACAAAGCAAGCAGCCUUAUUACUGAGGCAGAAUCAAAUGCAGAGGAAAACUU